This 585-nucleotide ribosomal RNA is filed under the name uncultured bacterium. RNAcentral's name for it is "partial 16S ribosomal RNA". It matches the Rfam family "Bacterial small subunit ribosomal RNA", at positions 355 to 1375 of the family's 1533-position model. The record is from RNAcentral.
UGGGGAAUUUUGGACAAUGGGCGAAAGCCUGAUCCAGCAAUGCCACGUGUGUGAAGAAGGCCUUCGGGUUGUAAAGCACUUUUGUCCGGAAAGAAAUCCUUGGCUCUAAUACAGUCGGGGGAUGACGGUACCGGAAGAAUAAGCACCGGCUAACUACGUGCCAGCAGCCGCGGUAAUACGUAGGGUGCAGGCGUUAAUCGGAAUUACUGGGCGUAAAGCGUGCGCAGGCGGUUUGCUAAGACCGAUGUGAAAUCCCCGGGCUCAACCUGGGAACUGCAUUGGUGACUGGCAGGCUAGAGUAUGGCAGAGGGGGGUAGAAUUCCACGUGUAGCAGUGAAAUGCGUAGAGAUGUGGAGGAAUACCGAUGGCGAAGGCAGCCCCCUGGGCCAAUACUGACGCUCAUGCACGAAAGCGUGGGGAGCAAACAGGAUUAGAUACCCUGGUAGUCCACGCCCUAAACGAUGUCAACUAGUUGUUGGGGAUUCAUUUCCUUAGUAACGUAGCUAACGCGUGAAGUUGACCGCCUGGGGAGUACGGUCGCAAGAUUAAAACUCAAAGGAAUUGACGGGGUCAUAGCUGUUUCCU